UCUGGUGUGGUGCACGGUGCACGGCGGCAUUUCGUGGGGAGUAUCUCAAGGUAGUUCUGCCGCAUGCCGGGGUUCGACUCCCCGUACCGGAC
Non-coding RNA from Mycena maculata, 92 nucleotides. The record is from the annotation of a GenBank genome assembly. NCBI's taxonomy places the organism in Eukaryota, Fungi, Basidiomycota, Agaricomycetes, Agaricales, Mycenaceae.